Molecule: transfer RNA, 66 nt
Filed under: Insulaphylus sp. ph34
Lineage: Eukaryota; Metazoa; Arthropoda; Insecta; Hemiptera; Miridae
Also listed under: 1 other name
Description: tRNA-Ile
Source: RNAcentral
AAUAAGAUGCCUGAUAAAAAGGACUAUUUUGAUAGAAUAGAUCAUGUACAAAUAAUACUCUUAUUA